UCCCACGUGGCUCAGAGGUAAAGGAUCUGCCUUCAAUGCAGGAGGCACAGGUUCAAUCCUUGAGUUGGGAA
Molecule: transfer RNA, 71 nt
Filed under: Bos taurus (domestic cattle)
Lineage: Eukaryota; Metazoa; Chordata; Mammalia; Artiodactyla; Bovidae
Also listed under: 5 other names
Rfam family: tRNA
About the family: Transfer RNA (tRNA) molecules are approximately 80 nucleotides in length. Their secondary structure includes four short double-helical elements and three loops (D, anti-codon, and T loops).
Source: Rfam by way of RNAcentral